CCCUGAUGCAGCGACGCCGCGUGAGCGAAGAAGUAUUUCGGUAUGUAAAGCUCUAUCAGCAGGGAAGAAAAUGACGGUACCUGACUAAGAAGCACCGGCUAAAUACGUGCCAGCAGCCGCGGUAAUACGUAUGGUGCAAGCGUUAUCCGGAUUUACUGGGUGUAAAGGGAGCGUAGACGGAUGGGCAAGUCUGAUGUGAAAACCCGGGGCUCAACCCCGGGACUGCAUUGGAAACUGUUCAUCUAGAGUGCUGGAGAGGUAAGUGGAAUUCCUAGUGUAGCGGUGAAAUGCGUAGAUAUUAGGAGGAACACCAGUGGCGAAGGCGGCUUACUGGACAGUAACUGACGUUGAGGCUCGAAAGCGUGGGGAGCAAACAGGAUUAGAUACCCUGGUAGUCCACGCCGUAAACGAUGACUACUAGGUGUCGGGUGGCAAAGCCAUUCGGUGCCGCAGCAAACGCAAUAAGUAGUCCACCUGGGGAGUACGUUCGCAAGAAUGAAACUCAAAGGAAUUUGACGGA
RNAcentral lists this ribosomal RNA (520 nucleotides) under uncultured bacterium. Its description in RNAcentral is "bacterial SSU rRNA". It matches the Rfam family "Bacterial small subunit ribosomal RNA", at positions 381 to 917 of the family's 1533-position model. The record is from RNAcentral.